RNA transcript from Pipistrellus kuhlii (Kuhl's pipistrelle), 11448 nucleotides. It is a transcript of the gene named ubinuclein 2, with no coding region annotated. The transcript is spliced from 18 exons. Lineage: Eukaryota; Metazoa; Chordata; Mammalia; Chiroptera; Vespertilionidae. The record is from RefSeq and is a predicted model, not a curated record.
GACUCCCAGACUGUUGGGAGGAAAACUGAGCCGCAGCCACGGAGGUGGACGGGAGCGCCUCCCGAGUGCGCAUGCGCCCGCUCGCGGCCUGCUUCUAUUUAUGUGGGGGAUCCAACAUGGCGGCCGCGGCGACCCUGGCGAUGGCGGUGGAGCCCACCAGGACAUAGCGGCGGGGAAGCGGGCACGGACCGCACUCACGGUGGCGUCGGCGGCAACGGCUGAGGGCGGCGGAGGGAAGAAAAGCGACGGAGAGCCAGAGGAAGGGCGGACAGGCACACAACUCGGCGCCGACCCGGGCGCCGGCGCGAGCGAGGGCAGAGGGCCAGAACAGUAGGGAUGGCGGAGCCGCGCCGAGUAGCGUUUAUCAGCCUGUCACCGGUGAGGCGGCGCGAGGCCGAGUACCCGGGGGCCGAGCGCGAGCCCGAGUACCCCCGCGAGCCGCCCCGGCUGGAGCCGCAGCCGCAGCCGCAGCGCGAGCCGCCGGUGCGGGCGGAGCAGCCGGUCCCGCGGGAGGCUGCCCCCCGCUCGGACGCGCCGCCGCCGCCGCGGGAGAAGCCGCCCGCCCCGCGCGAGGGCGGCCGCCCCGAGCCGCCCAUGUCGCUGCAGCGCGAGCCCCCGCGGCCCGAGCCGCCGCCGCCGCCGCCGCUCCCGCAGCUUCCCCUGCAGCCGCCCCCGCCGCGGGAGUCGGCUUCCCCGCAGCGGAGGCCGCCGAGGGAGACGGUGCGCCUGGAGCUGGUGCUCAAGGAUCCCACGGACGAGAGCUGCGUCGAGUUCAGUUACCCGGAGCUGCUCUCGUGCGGAGAACAACGGAAGAAGCCCAUUCACUCAGAAGACCCAUUUAAUGAUGAGCAUAAAGAGAGGCAAGAAGUGGAAAUGUUGGCCAAGAAGUUUGAAAUGAAAUAUGGUGGGAAACCCCGUAAACACCGGAAGGAUCGGCUACAAGAUUUAAUUGAUAUAGGCUUUGGCUAUGAUGAGACAGAUCCAUUUAUUGAUAACUCAGAGGCUUAUGAUGAAUUAGUUCCUGCUUCUCUAACAACAAAAUAUGGAGGAUUUUAUAUCAACACUGGCACUCUACAGUUUCGCCAAGCUUCAGAUACUGAAGAAGAAGAUAUUACAGAUGACCAAAAGCACAAACUAUCAAAAAUUCCUAAAAUAAAAGAAGAUGGUAUUGAGAUGAAGAAGCGGAAGCGGAAAGAGGAAGGGGAAAAGGAUAAGAAGCCAAGGAAAAAAGUACCCAAACAACUGGGAGUUGUAGCUCUGAAUUCACACAAGUCUGAAAAAAAGAAGAAACGUUACAAAGAUUCUCUUUCCCUAGCUGCCAUGAUACGACAAUUUCAGAAAGAGAAGGAUGCAUUAGAGAAGGAGUCUAACCCUAAAGUCCCAGGGAACUUAAUGACCGCCCCUUUGAAUAAAGCCCCCUCCGCUGCUGUAACAUUGGGAAGUGAUGUCUCAGACUUAAACAUGAACCAUGCUGAUCCGGACCUCCCCAUUUUUGUUAGCACAAAUGAACAUGAACUGUUUCAGGAAGCUGAAAGUGCCCUAAAGAUAUUAGAUGAUAUUGACUUUGACAGAUUAUUGGAUGCUACUUCCGAUGGUAGCCCCCUCUCUGAGUCAGGAGGAGAGAAUGGAAACACCACCCAGCCAACCUACGCCUCUCAGGUUAUGCCCAAGGUGGUACCUAUACUCCCAGAGGGUUUACCUGUCCUUCUUGAAAAACGUAUUGAAGACCUUCGUGUAGCUGCCAAACUUUUUGAUGAAGAAGGAAGAAAAAAAUUCUUUACACAGGAUAUGAAUAAUAUUCUUCUGGACAUUGAGUUACAGCUGCAGGAACUAGGCCCUGUCAUUCGAAGUGGUGUCUACUCCCAUCUUGAAGCUUUUGUGCCAUGCAAUAAAGAAACACUGGUAAAACGUCUAAAGAAGUUACAUCUUAACGUCCAGGAUGAUCGUUUAAGAGAACCUUUGCAAAAACUGAAACUGGCUGUUAGCAAUGUCAUGCCUCAACAGCUAUUUAAAUACCAGGAGGACUGCCUGGCUCGUGGUCAAGCUAAGUGUGCCAAGUUGCAAACAGAUGAAGAACGAGAUAAAAAUGGAUCCGAGGAAGAUGAUGAUGAGAAACCAGGGAAACGUGUCAUAGGACCAAGAAAGAAAUUCCACUGGGAUGACACCAUUAGAACUUUGUUAUGUAACCUUGUUGAGAUCAAAUUGGGAUGCUAUGAGUUAGAGCCAAAUAAAAGCCAGUCUGCUGAGGAUUAUCUUAAAUCCUUUAUGGAGACAGAGGUGAAACCAUUGUGGCCUAAGGGCUGGAUGCAGGCAAGAAUGCUUUUUAAGGAAAGUCGGAGCGUGCAUAAUCAUCUUACUUCUGCCCCGGCAAAGAAAAAGGUGAUUCCUGCUCCUAAACCCAAAGUAAAGGAGUGUAGUCCAAAAAAGGACCAGAAAACUCCUGCAUCCUUGGUGGCUUCAAUUGGUGGUCCUUCAAGUUCCGUCAUAUCUGCCAUGGCCUCCACCAGCUCUAGCUCUACUCCAGUCCAGGAGACGAUCUGCCUUGACGACUCACUAGAUGAAGACCUUUCUUUCCACCCACCGGCACUGGAUCUUGUUUCGGAAGCUUUAGCUGUUAUCAACAAUGGCAACAAGGGCCCUCCAGCUGGCUCAAGGAUAAGCAUGCCAACUGCAAAACCUCGUCCAGGACUGAGAGAAGAAAAAUUAGCAAGUAUAAUGAGUAAGCUGCCACUGGCUACUCCCAAAAAACUAGAUUCUGCUCAGACUGCACAUUCAUCUAGUCUUAUUGCUGGUCACACAGGGCCAGUACCAAAGAAACCCCAGGAUUUAGCUCAUACUGGCAUCUCUUCAGGCCUUAUUGCUGGUUCUUCAAUUCAGAACCCUAAAGUUUCCUUAGAACCUUUGCCAGCCAGGCUACUUCAACAAGGACUACAGAGGUCAAGCCAGAUUCACGCUUCUUCCUCCUCACAGUCCCACGUCUCCUCUUCUUCCCAAGCCCAAGUUGCUGCCUCCUCUCAUGCUCUGGGAACAUCAGAGGCCCAAGAUGCUUCUUCAGUAACACAAGUAACAAAGGUGCACCAGCAUUCAGCUGUCCAACAAAAUUAUGUGUCUCCACUGCAAGCAACCAUUAGUAAAUCACAGAGCAACCCAGUGGUGAAAUUAAGUAAUAAUCCCCAGCUUUCCUGUUCGUCCCCACUUGUUAAGACUUCAGAUAAGUCACUUAUGUACCGCCUUCCCUUACCUACUCCCUCACCUGGAAAUGGUUCUCAAGGGUCCCACUCCCUGGUUUCUAGGACAGUACCUAGCACCACUACCUCCAGUAACUACUUAGCUAAGGCUAUGGUGUCACAAAUCUCCACGCAGGGUUUCAAAUCUCCCUUCUCAAUGGCUGCAUCCCCAAAACUUGCCGCAUCUCCCAAACCUGCCACAUCCCCUAAACCUUUGCCCUCACCUAAGCCUUCGGCCUCACCCAAGCCCUCUCUGUCAGCUAAGCCUUCAGUAUCAACUAAACUUAUUUCCAAAUCCAACCCUACUCCCAAGCCUACUGUAUCCUCAAGUUCUUCCAGUCCAAGUGCACUAGUGUCCCAGAGUAGCCACUCCAGCAGUAACAACCCAGUCCAUAAACAACCCAGUGGAAUAAACAUCAGCAGACAGUCUCCCACCUUGAAUUUAUUGCCCUCUAAUCGCACUUCAGGCCUUUCGUCUACAAAAAAUCUUCAGGCCUCAUCAAAGCUACCAAACUCAUCAUCCACUGGAACUGUUGGGAAGAAUAGCUUGAGUGGAAUUGCAGUGAAUGCACCUGCCAGCAGAGGUAGCAACCUUAACUCAAGCGGAGCUAAUAGGACUAGUCUGUCUGGGGGAACAGGAGGUGGAACACAGGGUGCUACUAAACCGUUGUCUACUCCACAUAGACCAUCCUCUGCCUCAGGGUCUUCAGUGGUAACAGCCAGUGUGCAGUCCACAGCAGGAGCAUCAUUAUUGGCUAAUGCCUCACCUCUGACUCUCAUGACAUCACCUUUGUCUGUAACAAAUCAAAAUGUGACUCCUUUUGGGAUGCUGGGUGGCCUUGUUCCAGUGACCAUGCCCUUCCAGUUUCCCUUGGAGCUACUUGGCUUUGGAACGGACACAGCUGGCGUGACAACCACCUCGGGAUCUACCUCAGCCGCUCUCCACCAUAGCUUAACUCAGAAGGGCUCAACCAGAUUUAAGAAGAUCACUGACAAAUCUGUUUUCCUCUCAGAUUUACUAAAGGGUUUACAGCCAGGAGUUCAGCAUGCAGCAACACUUUCCCACUCACCUCUGCCUACACAUUUACAGCAAACAUUUAAUGAUGGAGGCCAAAGUAAAGGGGACACUAAAUUACCACGGAAAUCUCAGUGACUUCCCAACAAGCAAAGGAGAUGAGACACUCAGCUGGCUGAUGGAAUCUACCUGAUGGGAAAGUACUCAUGUGGUCAUAGGGCUGCUGUUCUGUCGAUGUUUACAUUCUCUCGUCCCAAGCACUGUGGUGAGGAGGAAAAAGGAAAGAAAACAUUACUUGAGUUAAAACCAGGUGCAGGAGGAAGAAAUGCUUUCUUGCAAACAGAUCUAAAUUGCUUACUGCCCAGGGUUGGAAAGGGCAGACGCUUCUAGUCUUGCUCCUCUGGUUGCCCUCUACCACACCCCUUUCCACCUCUACUUGGUUCAAGACAUGUUCUGAAAUCGAAAUUCUGCUGUUUUUCAAACUGCCAUUGAUUGUGAGAACUCUCUGUCCCGGUGAUCAUCUCUUAGAACUCCAGUUCUCUAUCAUGUUUGCUGCUACGUUUGUAGAAUGAACUUUGCCUGUAUUGGUUGACUUUCACCUAAUUUACAGUUCUUUAUUUCUUGAAGGUUAUGUCUUAUCAUUUGACCCAUGUAUAGAAUUAGGAUACUUUAUUUUAGGAGUAUACCAUAAAAGAAUACUGGUUCCUGUAUUCUUUUUAUCUUCACUUAGGCUUUGAAUUUGAGUUUGCUUGUUUUAAAUUAGAAAUAGAAGAGUGAUAAAACCUAUAAUCAGGCCAAAUUCAAAAAGUUCCUGUGUUUCAGCACUGUAGUUUUUGCUGACCUUCCAUUCUCAGAUGGGGCACUUUUACUUUAUAUUAUGCAUGUUUUAUUAUGUUUGUUUUGUUGUUUUUGCUUUUGGGGGUUUUGUUUCUGUAAUAAUGAAGCAGAAGGAAAAUGCAGUAGUAGGUAAAUGACUGGUUACAAACAUGCAAUUUUAUUUUAUAAAAUCUAAGGGAAAAGUUUAACUCUCUGUAAAUCAUUUUUUAGCUCUGGUAAAAUGCUUAUAUUGCUCCUCUAAAACAUGCUUAAUUCAGGCCUUUCUCUUUUUUAAGUGCCUUUUUUUCUCUCCCCCUUCCCCUCCUUUCAAACUGUUCUCAUAUACCCUGAAGUACAGGCUAAUAAGUCAGGGGAUUCAGGAGGAAGAAUCUCAAACUUGCCAACUUCAUGUCAUGCUGUACCGUUCUUCCUUUUCUUUAUGUGUAUAUGGAUAUAUGUAUAAGAUACAUACAUACAUACAUAUUGUGUAUAUAUGUAUACAUAUGUAAUAUAUAUAUAAAACUAGUAGCUGCUGUACCAUUGCAUCCUUUCUGAACACUUCCCUGUCAGUGUUUGCAAGAUUUCUGCCUGUUUAUUCCACUGCUUUUAGUCAAUUCAAAUGGAUGGACUGGGAAAUUGUCUUUCCCCCUUGGAGUGUGAGUGUGUGUGUGUGUGUGUGUGUGUGUGUGUGUGUGUGUGUGUGUAGUCAUUACAAAUAAAAUAAAUUUAGCCAACUCAUUGACUAUUCCUGGGUUUAACCUACUGCUUUAUGCCCUUCAAACUUGGCAUGAGUAAUACUGGAGAAAGCAUUGGAGUAACAAGUCUUUAGUGGGUCAACUCAAUAAGGUGCACUGUGGCAGGCAAACAGCCAUGGGGGAGCUGGAGUUAGAAUCAUGGUGUUGUAUCUGAAUAAGUUUUCAAGGAAGUUAGCAAAUGUGUCAGCAUUGAAACUGCAUCGAACUAUCUUUGGGAAAAUUCUUUUUGGAGAAUUCAUAUAGCUAUUUUGCGUAUCUGUCAAAGGUUAAUAAAUUUAGAAGUAGAAAGACUUCAGAUGCUGGGGAAAACACUCAUAUAACCUUUGGCUUAAUCUGUUUUUAUGGUUAUUUAAACCCCUCCCUUGAGUAAAAUAACAUAAUUUUCAGCACCUAAGAUUCUUUUUUGUUGAAAACAUAUUUGACAUGCUAAGGGAGACUAAGUUGAACCAAUCCUCAAAACCCAGUACAAAUAUCUAAUAAGUGCUCCCUUUUAAAUACAUUUUAAUUGGGAAGAGAAGACCAGUGGCUAAAAGGAGAAAGCAGAGGCUCCUGGUAGUGUUACCUGAUAGCAACACUGUUAUUAGGCACCUCUGUUUAGUCAUGUUACUCUUGGAUUGCUAUAUUAGGGGGAAUGUCAUUUAACCUUCGUGCCUCAGAUUACCCAUUAGAAUAUUGGGUAUAAUAAUAUUCACCUACCUCCCAGGGAUAUCAGAGACUUUACUAUUUCAAAAAUACUUUGAGUUUUUCUAAAAUGUCUUAUAUAAUUAAAAAAGUAUUAUAAUCGUCCUGCAGAGGCUAAAGAAUGGGUAUAAAACGCACCAUUUAAUUUUAAGUUUAAAAAUAAAUCACUGGAAUUCUAAUUAAGAUACAUAUUUGUUAUUUAAGUAUAUUAUAUUUGUGGUGGGGUAAAAUGGGUACUUUCUGUUUAGUAAGGGGGGAGGAGGGAAGUAACACUUUGUUUCUUAAUCAUAUGUAGAUUUUUUUUUUUUUAGCCUUUUAUGGUAUUAUUUAUUACAGGUGUGAUUUUUGUCAAGGUUUCAGAGCUGAAGCUAGGUAAAAUUUAGAUGGUUUGUCAUUGGAGUUGAUUCCGAAAGUUUUAUCUGCCUCACUUUUCCAUCUUCUCCAUCUAAUUUUCUUAUAUUAGUUGUUUGGUGAUGCAUAGCAAAGCAUUUAACUAUCUAGGAAAGAAUGGGAGUCUCCUCAUUCUUGUAAACUGGAGAUAGUGUACUAUUCCUGUAACUAUAGGUUUACCCAUCUUUGCACCGAAGGGGCAAGCACUACACACAGUCAGCAGGGUACACUUCUAGUCAGUUUACCUUUUAACUUAUGCUUCUUCAACCCAUGAAAGAGUUGGAGCCAUUAGUGUUCAAGUUGUAGGAAAAUGGGAGUGGAAAGGCAGGAUUCACUUCCUAGCUGGGGCAGGGUUGGGAGGCUGGGGGUAGAAGGAAACAUGGUUUGCCCAUCUCUGAAGAGGAAAGGAAGAUCUUUUUAUCCUACCUUCUUUACAUAGAAUUUUCCUUUUAUCAUUUAAAACAACAGGAAAAAUGGAUGCUGCAUAUCUAGUUAGGAAUAAAUGCUGAGCAACAACUACUGGGGGUUGAGUGCUGAUUUAAAUUGUGGCACAUGUUCGGGAUUAGCAAAGAACAUGUCGGGAGAUGGGAACAAAUUGUCUAGCUCAAGUGAGUCAGGAGAAAGCAGCAGGCCCAAGUAGACAAAGCACUGGGCUGAUGCCCAGAACUGGCCAAGGCUCAUUUAACCUCUGGUGUUAGGACGUUUUUAUUGCUUUUUGCAGAGAAGGCCUUUGUAGCUUCUGAGUAUCAACUAUGCAGAUAAAUAUACUCUUUAUUUUACACAUUUCUUCUUCUCCAUUCUUUAAAUAACAGAUGUUAAGACUUCUAUCCAAAGAAAUAAGGCAUUAAGGUUUUGUUGAAUGUGUAUCUGUUCCGCUAGAGAAAAUUAACAGGAGCAUAAAAUAAGAGAGAUUUUUUUUGUUCUUCUAUCCUAAAAUGUGAAUCUUAUAUUAAAAAAUUAAGUGCACAUCCUUUCACUGGUGCAAAACUUAGAAUCAUGGAUUACCAUUGGGUUGUUAAGAUACAUCAUCCCAGCAUUCAAUUCUGAGAGACGAUCUAGGUUCUGCAGCAUAGUGUUCAGGUUUGAAGAGCUGAACAGAUUGUCUGACUCUAAUUAAAAAUAGCUUUGAAUAUUAAUGUUGAAUUCUUCUUUAUUUCCUUUAGUUUUCAUUCUUCUUUCUUUUAAUUUGAGCUCUUAAGUUAACCAUUUCGUCAACCAGUAGCUACACUGGAAUAUUGCGUAUUUUGAAGAGUCUGGGGAGGAAAGGUUAACCUGUCUUUCACUUCCUUUUCCCACUCACUUGGCUGUCUGUUCUGUGUCCCAUUGAAUUCAGAAGUAAAGACUAUAGUCAUGUUCCAGGAGACUGUUCACAUCCCAACAGACUCAGAGAGAGACUAGGGUUCUAUUCAUACUGCCUUUGAAUAACUUGACAUUAAAUUGCCUUUUUCUUAGACACUCCCAAAGUACCAUUUGCUUGAAAGUAACUAUUUGUGGUCUUUAAUGUCCUCAUACUGUAAUACUUCUACUUCACUUCUCAAUCUUUCUUACAUAUUUUCAGUUUAUAACAGAUUAAUACUUAAGUUUCUGACACUUUUCCGAACUGUUAACCAAACAGGUCAAGGAUACUUUCAUAAGUCUUAGUAGUGUAAUUGAUGGGGUCUAUAUUUCUAGGAAUUAGAAUUAUCACUGGUAACCAGAAUUUUUUCUCUCUUCUCCUUUGUAUUAAAAAAUAAUUUCUCUACUACAUAAUGUAGUAGCUACAAUUCAUGGCUUCUCUGGAUGCUUUCAAGGUUGUUCAGAAGAGACACAGGCCUUUGUUAGGGGCUUAGUUCUCAUAAUUCUCUGGCUAGCUUUUUUUCAUACUUCCCUGGGGAGAAAACCUACUUUGCAAAUAGUUAAGUCAUACAGGUCAUAUGAAUCCUUAGUACGGAUUUUAUGUGUUUCAGAAAACUACAUUAUUUGCUCCCAUUUUGCUAAUACUAAUAUAAUUUCUAGAGGCCCAGUGCACAGAUUUGUACACCAGUGGGGUGUCCCUCAGCCUGGCCUUCGGGAUCGGGCCAAAACCAGCUCUCCAACAUCCCCUGAGGGGUCCCAGAUUGCGAGAGGGCACAGGCCAGGCCAAGGGACCCAACUGGUCCAUGGUUGGGGUCGGGGAGGGAUGCCAGAGGUUGACCAACUGGGGAGGGACAGUGGAAGGGCUCCAUGGCAUGUCUAGCCCUUCUCACUCAGUCCCCAUCAGCAGGAUCCCAGCAGCAAGCUAACCUACCAGUCGGAGCGUCUGCCCCCUGGUGGUCAGUGCAAAUCAUAGUGAGCGGUUGAGCGGCCUUAGCAUAUCAGCAUAUUAGGUUUUGAUUGGUUAAACAGAUGACCAGACACUUAGCAUAUUAAGCUUUUAUUAUGUAGAAUUUUAUCUUAAAUCUAGUGUUAAAAUAUUUUAUAAUGGAGCAUUAAUGGAAACCUAAUUAAAUUCAAACAAGAUACUAUAACUCAAUGUAACUCGGAAAUACUUCAAUUUUUGAAGUCAGCAGCUCCAUUCAGCUUCUAAGCACAUUUAGGAGUUAGUAGUAACCAAGACCAGCUGUUGGUAUGUUUUUCUAUUUGACAACCUGCCCUUGAUUUAUCAGACCUCAGCUGUCUUGUAUUUUUCUGUCCUUGCAGUUAUAACCUCAUGUUUAUUGUUUGUUUUGUUUUCUUGCUUAUCUCUGCUGCUUGCAAGGGUAUUGUGCUCUGCCAGCACAUGGGGUUUUCUUUCCCAUACCUGCAAAAUUAUCAAGGAUUAUCCCAAUUCUGGCUAGAGGCAUUAAAAGAGUUUUUCUCAAUUAACAAAGGUAUUACUGUUUUAUAUAGUUAGUUAGAAAGUUGGUUGCGUUCAGCCAACUCUUAAAGUCCUGGCUCUGCCUACAUAAUUAAUUACAUAUACCUUCUGAGACCUUCAGAUACACAAAGGGCCCUUCCACCAGUAGAGGUGGGGUCCAUGGCCAGCCUCCAGAGAACGGACUAAAGCUUGGUACUGUCCUUUGUUGGCUGUCACGGAAAAAUUGUAUUAUAGGAAGUAUCAAAAAUAUAAAUUGUUUUUAAGGAGAGUAGGCAGACCUAAAGCUUGCCAUGUGUUUUGCUUGCUAAACAUUGUCAAGCUUAAAAGAGGAGGAAAAGAAAUCUCUGGCUGGCGAAAAUUUUGUGCCCCAAAUAAUGUGUUAAUGUCCACCACGGUAACGAAGUGAUGGGAGUUUUAUCCCUUUUUUAUAAACAAAGUUUAUUGUAGUCAUAAAAAUUAUUGUGGGACUGCAGAUCUAUUUGCUGAUUGGAAAUAAGGAUUCUGAAUUUUGGUCUGGCUAAGCACAUAUUUCCAACUUUUACACUAUAAAUUUUGAUAAGGGAAAGACUUUUGUUUGUUAACAGAAGGAAAAACAGGACUUAACUUAUACAGUGAAUGUUCACUCCGUAGAGGAAUUUCCCUCCAGUUACAUCAUCUUCCUCUUACUGUAGCCACCUCCACACCUGUUACAGACGGCCAGCAUGUUUCACAGCCAUCUUGAAGGAAGGAGCCUGAAUAAUUGCUCCUUUGAGGGAAAGGCACUGCUUAUCGUAUCACGAGUAUUUACAGGGAGGUGCGUUUAUACUAACUUGAAGGGAUAUACUGUAUUUUAAAUAAGUGUGUGACUUAAUACUUUGGGAUUAUUUUUCUUCCUUUAAAACUGGACCUGAACAAAGCUUUGAGUUGAUAUUUGUAAUAAUCUCAGGACCUGAAAGAUUGUAGCAUUUAGUGUGUCUUAAAAAUUAUGUACUGUACCAGCCAUGGAUUUUUGUAAAUAUACCUGUCUCCCUUUUUUGUAUUAUUUUAGUAAAAAAUAAUAAAUUUAAAUAAAAGGGGAUAGUGAUGACAUGUGAAUGGGUGUGGUAUGUAUGUGUGUGUGUUUGUAUAAGGCUCUUUUGAGAUGAACUGGUGCUUGUUUAAUUUCCAGCUCUAAUCAGAGCAGGAAUAUGGACAACUGCUGCUACUGUACUCUGCACUGAGCCUAGGAAUUUCCAUUUUAUCUUUCCCAAUGGUUGAUUAAAAACGAGCUACCAGGAAAUUACUAAUAACUUUAAUUCCUCCCACUGCCGUCUUGCUCUGUAUUCUGAGUUCUGCAAUGGUAAAGCUUUCCAAUCUUUGGGGGGUUCACUGGUCUCUAGUUUUUAGAGAACUCUUGUCACUAUUUUCUAAGAAGAAAGAAGGACAGAUACAUUUUUUAACCAAAAUCACACAUUUCAUAAAACCCUGAUGAGUUAUGGAUAUGUGAGAGGGCUUAAACAUUCCUGAAUACGAAUCUUUGAAUUUGGUAAAUUAACCCCAUGGAUAUACUCCUUCAGUGCAGGGGAAUUUUUUUUUUUUCUUUUUUUGCAACAGCCUUGCUCAUAUUCCAGAUGUAGCUUGCGAACCCCUGUUUUAAAGCAGGAGCCUUAUUUGAUUUAGUGUAGAUGUUUCCUGUCAAUCCUUUGUGACAGGGCCUUUUACAUGAGUGGUUUUUUCUUUUUGUAUGUGUUAUGUGUUUAUUGUAUUAAAUAAAGAGGAAUGUGCAUAUUA